Molecule: ribosomal RNA, 372 nt
Filed under: uncultured bacterium
Lineage: Bacteria
Description: bacterial SSU rRNA
Rfam family: Bacterial small subunit ribosomal RNA
Source: RNAcentral
AACGAACGCUGGCGGCAGGCCUAACACAUGCAAGUCGAACGCCGUAGCAAUACGGAGUGGCAGACGGGUGAGUAACGCGUGGGAACAUACCCCUCGGUUCGGAAUAACUCAGGGAAACUUGAGCUAAUACCGGAUACGUCCGAUGUUUUAAUCGACCUUGGAGAAAGAUUUAUCGCCGGAGGAUUGGCCCGCGUCUGAUUAGCUUGUUGGUGAGGUAAUGGCUCACCAAGGCGACGAUCAGUAGCUGGUCUGAGAGGAUGAUCAGCCACAUUGGGACUGAGACACGGCCCAAACUCCUACGGGAGGCAGCAGUGGGGAAUAUUGGACAAUGGGCGAAAGCCUGAUCCAGCCAUGCCGCGUGAGUGAUGAAGG